Molecule: non-coding RNA, 134 nt
Organism: Triticum aestivum (bread wheat)
Lineage: Eukaryota; Viridiplantae; Streptophyta; Magnoliopsida; Poales; Poaceae
Source: Rfam
GUUAUGCACCUUUCGCCCGAAAAUACUUGUCAUCAAAAUGGAUAAAAAGAUAUGUAUCUCGAAUUAAAAUACAUCUAGAUACAUCUCUUUUAUUUAUUUUGAUGACAAAUAUUUCCGAACGGAGGGAGUACCAA